This is an unclassified non-coding RNA of Prolemur simus (greater bamboo lemur), 102 nucleotides long. It matches the Rfam family "Y RNA". Rfam says of the family: Y RNAs are components of the Ro ribonucleoprotein particle (Ro RNP), in association with Ro60 and La proteins. Lineage: Eukaryota; Metazoa; Chordata; Mammalia; Primates; Lemuridae. The record is from Ensembl.
AGUUGGUCUGAGCGCAGUAGUGUUUACAACUAAUUGAUCACAACCAGUUACAGAUUCCUUUGUUUCUUCUCCACUCCCACUGCUCCACUUGACCAGCCUUUU